AUACUUACCUGCAGGGGAGAUACCAUGAUCACGAAGGUGGUUUUCCCAGGGUGAGGCUCAUUCAUUGCUCUCCCAGUGUGCUGACCCCUACGAUUUUCCUGAAUGUGGGAAAUUUGAGUGCAUAAUUUGUGGAAGUUGGGGACUGCAUUGGAGCUUUCCCCUG
This is a small nuclear RNA of Nannospalax galili (Upper Galilee mountains blind mole rat), 163 nucleotides long. Its record names the gene U1. It matches the Rfam family "U1 spliceosomal RNA". Rfam says of the family: U1 is a small nuclear RNA (snRNA) component of the spliceosome (involved in pre-mRNA splicing). Its 5' end forms complementary base pairs with the 5' splice junction, thus defining the 5' donor site of an intron. There are significant differences in sequence and secondary structure between metazoan and yeast U1 snRNAs, the latter being much longer (568 nucleotides as compared to 164 nucleotides in human). Lineage: Eukaryota; Metazoa; Chordata; Mammalia; Rodentia; Spalacidae. The record is from Ensembl.